RNAcentral lists this ribosomal RNA (468 nucleotides) under uncultured bacterium. RNAcentral's name for it is "partial 16S ribosomal RNA". It matches the Rfam family "Bacterial small subunit ribosomal RNA", at positions 28 to 507 of the family's 1533-position model. The record is from RNAcentral.
GACGAACGCUGGCGGCGUGCUUAACACAUGCAAGUCGAACGGAAAGGCCCUGCUUUUGUGGGGUGCUCGAGUGGCGAACGGGUGAGUAACACGUGAGUAACCUGCCCUUGACUUUGGGAUAACUUCAGAAAACUGGGGCUAAUACCGGAUAGGAGCUCCUGCUGCAUGGUGGGGGUUGGAAAGUUUCGGCGGUUGGGGAUGGACUCGCGGCUUAUCAGCUUGUUGGUUGGGUAGUGGCUUACCAAGGCUUUGACGGGUAGCCGGCCUGAGAGGGUGACAGGCCACAUUGGGAUUGAGAUACGGCCCAGACUCCUACGGGAGGCAGCAGUGGGGAAGAUUGUACAAUGGGCGGAAGCAUGAUGCAGCAACGCCGCGUGGGGGAUGACGGCCAUCGGGUUGUAAACCGCUUUCGCCUGUGACGAAGCGUGAGUGACGGUAAUGGGUAAAGAAGCACCGGCUAACUACGUG